CCUACGGGUGGCAGCAGUGAGGAAUAUUGGUCAAUGGCCGCAGGGCUGAACCAGCCAAGUCGCGUGAGGGAUGACGGUCCUAUGGAUUGUAAACCUCUUUUGUCGGGGAGCAAAAGACGCCACGCGUGGCGUUCCGAGAGUACCCGAAGAAAAAGCAUCGGCUAACUCCGUGCCAGCAGCCGCGGUAAUACGGAGGAUGCGAGCGUUAUCCGGAUUUAGUGGGUUUAAAGGGUGCGCAGGCGGAAGAUCAAGUCAGCGGUAAAAUUGAGAGGCUCAACCUCUUCGAGCCGUUGAAACUGGUUUUCUUGAGUGAGCGAGAGGUAUGCGGAAUGCGUGGUGUAGCGGUGAAAUGCAUAGAUAUCACGCAGAACUCCGAUUGCGAAGGCAGCAUACCGGCGCUCAACUGACGCUCAUGCACGAAAGUGUGGGUAUCGAACAGGAUUAGAUACCCUGGUAGUC
RNAcentral lists this ribosomal RNA (459 nucleotides) under uncultured bacterium. Its description in RNAcentral is "partial 16S ribosomal RNA". It matches the Rfam family "Bacterial small subunit ribosomal RNA", at positions 338 to 795 of the family's 1533-position model. The record is from RNAcentral.